UCCUGCCCUCGGAGGUCGAGUCUCACUUUUUCGAGGUGAUCUGCAGCACGGCAACGCCUCCAUAAAAAUAAAUAACGUUCAACUGGAGGACGGAGGAAUCUACACCUGUAUCUUUCCAAGCAGAGGAAAAACAUUCUGGAUUGAGCUUGUUGUUGGAGCAGCAGAGCCAGAGAUCACAAUUUUUGUUCAAAGAAAUGGCGGGGCGCUGCUUCAGUGUGAUGUUAAGAAUGCUAAUCCCAAGCCUACAGUGGAGUGGCAGGACAGUAACAAUCUAAACAUUACUUCUGAGCAGCCACAGGUCUUUGAACAAGGAGGUCGCUUCAACAUCACCCUCAAAGCUACUGUGAAAAGAUCCGACCGCUAUCGCUGUGUCGCCACACAGUUGCAAAUCAAACAUCAGGCGCAAAAAGAAAUCAAUGUAGAUUUUGAUGAGAAGAGUGACUCUGCACAAGUGCUCCCUGUAUGGGCUGCCAUACUCAUCGGUGUUCUUGUUGCUGUUGUUAAAGUGUGAGCUAAAGCUUGCUUUUUGAAGAAAGGUUAACAAAGAAGAGAAUAUGGCUGCUCCACAGAGAUGCAGAAAAAUCUCACCUCCGAACGAUCUUAAAAAGUGUGAAUUGGUCAUAUUUGAAACCUGUUUUUGUUUUUUGUCUUUGAUUCAGCUGAGAGUUUAAUCACAACAGGACAUGUUGGCUCUUGUUUUGUUGUGCGACUUUUCUCUGGUUUCUAAUGAAAAAACAUUUUGACUUAACUCUGUUCGUCUUGGCUCAGGACGCUCGCUCAGAGAGAGGACGUGUCAAGAGUUUUGAGUCAAAGGUUAAAAAAUGAAACUUUACUCUCUAACAUCACAGAGUACUUCAGCGUCAAACCUGACGAUCACCCAAACAGUCACAGUCCAACCUUCACUCUCCGUCACAUUCAUGGUUUAAAAUUACACGACUGUUUCUUCUACCUGCAUCUUUCAAACUCCUCACCAAGUUUUAGCUUCACACUGUUCUGUGUUUAUAUUUCAUUAUCAUUAUUGAUCAUAUUUAGAUGUCGGACUGUUGUUGUCCUCAUAUAAGGAAAUAUGAUCUAUAAUUAAUAACGUACUUCCAUAUUUUCACUUUUAACUUUUUUUUCCUCCGAAGUUAAAAAGUUUGUGUUGUUGAAAAUAAAAUAGAAAAAAUACCAUUUUAAAACAGUCACAUUUCCAUCAUUUCAACUUUAAUUUGAUCAUUUACUGAUCAUCUCAGUGUUUCCUCUCCUGCUGCAGUUUAAUGGCUCCUCCUGACUCCUUUCCCAUUUUCAUUGUGCAGCUUUAUAAAUAAUUCACUGAACAAAGUUUCUCUGAGGUUCAUGUUUUUCAUGAGGACAGUGAUGGUUUGUUUUUGAUCGUAACAGAUUAAAAUAAUUGGAACCCCUUUGAAGACGUUACAGUUUAUUAUCUGGAUCAGUAAAAAGAAAAAUAAUGAGCCAAGCAAAUUUAAAAAUGGCCCAAAGCAAAACCUUAACUCUAAAUUUAGGACUUAAAGUUUCACGUUUCUAUUAUGUUUCAUAUUCAGUCGAAAGUUUGUCAUGCAAAUGAUGAAGAAACUUUUCAGCUCAUAUUUAACUCAGUCUAGUUAAACAUGUGCACUCGUGUUUUACUGCAAAUGAAUAUUUAGCAGAUAGAAAAAUUAUGAUUUUCAUUUUUAGAAUAUUUUUACUUACUCUUAAACUCUAAUAUCAUAUGUUGCUUUUGGUUCAGUUGAUUUUUUUUUUCCAGAUUAUAUUUUUGCUGUCAACUGUUGAUGUACUUUUUUAUGUUCAUGCCAUUUGACAGAAAGCUUAAGAGUGCACAAGCCUGAAUAAAAAACUUUUGCGACUG
Neolamprologus brichardi is the source of this 1846-nucleotide non-coding RNA. Lineage: Eukaryota; Metazoa; Chordata; Actinopteri; Cichliformes; Cichlidae. The record is from RefSeq and is a predicted model, not a curated record.